RNAcentral lists this ribosomal RNA (878 nucleotides) under uncultured Sphingobacteriia bacterium. Its description in RNAcentral is "bacterial SSU rRNA". It matches the Rfam family "Bacterial small subunit ribosomal RNA", at positions 57 to 936 of the family's 1533-position model. Lineage: Bacteria; Pseudomonadati; Bacteroidota; Sphingobacteriia. The record is from RNAcentral.
GCAAGUCGAACGGUAACAGGUGUAGCAAUACAUGCUGACGAGUGGCAGACGGGUGAGGAACUCGUACGCAAUCUUCCUCUUUCUGGUGAAUAGCCCUGAGAAAUUAGGAUUAAUACACCAUAGUAUUACGAGAUGGCAUCAUUUUGUAAUUAAAACUCCGGUGGAAAGAGAUGAGCGUGCGCCUGAUUAGAUAGUUGGUGAGGUAACGGCUCACCAAGUCAACGAUCAGUAACUGGUGUGAGAGCACGACCAGUCACACGGGCACUGAGAUACGGGCCCGACUCCUACGGGAGGCAGCAGUAAGGAAUAUUGGUCAAUGGACGCAAGUCUGAACCAGCCAUACCGCGUGAAGGAUGAAGGCCCUCUGGGUUGUAAACUUCUUUUAUCUGGGAAGAAAUCCACUGUUUCUACGGUGGUUGACGGUAUCAGAGGAAUAAGCACCGGCUAACUCCGUGCCAGCAGCCGCGGUAAUACGGAGGGUGCAAGCGUUAUCCGGAUUUACUGGGUUUAAAGGGUGCGUAGGCGGGCUUUUAAGUCAGCGGUGAAAUCUCCGGGCUCAACCCGGAAAUUGCCGUUGAUACUAUUAGUCUUGAAUUAAGUUGAGGUGGGCGGAAUAUGUCAUGUAGCGGUGAAAUGCUUAGAUAUGACAUAGAACACGGAUUGCGAAGGCAGCUCGCUAAACUUAUAUUGACGCUGAGGCACGAAAGCGUGGGGAUCAAACAGGAUUAGAAACCCUGGUAGUCCACGCCCUAAACGAUGAUUACUCGAUCUUAGCGAUACACAGUUAGGGUCUAUGCAAAAGCAUUAAGUAAUCCACCUGGGGAGUACGACCGCAGGUUGAAACUCAAGAAUUGACGGGGGUCCGCACAAGCGGUGGA